This 1399-nucleotide ribosomal RNA is filed under the name Triticum aestivum (bread wheat). RNAcentral describes it as "partial small subunit ribosomal RNA". The record is from RNAcentral. Lineage: Eukaryota; Viridiplantae; Streptophyta; Magnoliopsida; Poales; Poaceae.
AAAAAGCUGUUAAAAGCGACUCCAACCUCGCCUCUUCUUCGUCCCUCUUUCUCAGUUUCUCCUCAACCAUCACCAAUACCACACGCAUCCGGAGCCAAAAGCGAGCACUCAAAGGAACAAAUCAAUCCCAAGCAAUCCUUCCCGCCGGAGCUUCCUGCCAUGACUAUCCAGACGCUGAAGGCGCGCAUCCUGCGCGUCCUCAGAUCGUCACUCCCCGCUGCCGCCGCCGCCGCAUCGGCAUCCCUGCCGCCGUCGCCGACCAAGCCCGGCCGCGUCGUGCUCCACUCCACCGACGGACUAUCCGACGAUGCGUCCUUCUUCGACGCCCACGAGACCCCCACCAAGAUUAACCUCCCCGCUGAGCCCAUCGACGACGACUGGGAGCUCGUUGACCAGGACGGCUACGACCGGGACUCCCUUGCCUCGGGGUCGGCGCCGGCGUCUGAUCCCGACGGCAUGCUCCGGGAUUUCCCGGCCAGGUGCCCACCCGGCGGCGACGAAGCCGUGGUGCUCUAUACCACCACGCUCCGGGGCAUCCGCAAGACGUUCGAAGACUGUAACGACGUGCGCGCUCUGCUGGAUAACCUCGCCGUGGCGUUUCAGGAGCGCGACGUGUCCAUGGACCGGGGUCUCCGGGAGCAGCUCUGGGCUGCCACCGGCGAAAAGGCCGUGCCCCCGCGGCUCUUCGUCCGCGGCCACGAUCUCGGGGGCGCCGCCCAGGUGCUUGCACUCCACGAGGACGGUCGCCUUACCUCCCUCCUCCAGCUGCCGUCACUUGCGCCCCCGGAGGCGGCGGUCAGCAGCAACAAGAAGAGGGAGAAGUGCGAGGCGUGCGGGGGGCUGAGGUUCGUGGUAUGCGGUGAGUGCGAUGGCAGCCGGAAGGUGUUCGACGGCGAGCGCGGUGAUGUCCGGUGCCACGGAUGCAACGAGAACGGACUCGUCAUGUGCACGCUUUGCUUGUACCCGAGCUGAAGCAAUGUAAAUUAACUAGCGGUUAAUUGCCAAUCACCUGCUCCUUUUUUUAAUAAGUUAAUUAAUUACCGACCAUAGUGGUACCACUUUGGGGCUUGAGUGUGUAAUUGGAUUUAGUGGUUGUCUUGUCAUGUAGUACAUACAUUAUGCUAGUUUUCGUUUAUGUUUAUAUUUGUGUUCAACCACAUAGAGAUGUGACAUGCAUAUGGGGUUAGAUGUCCAUGUCAGUAUAAGAUUCUGAUCCACCUAGAUUCGGUCUCGGAUUUCUCCAGCAGGGAUGAGCCGCUGUUCCUUGGGUCUCGUCGGAUAGCGGCCAGAGCGGGUUGCCGUAUGAUGGGAGGAUCAGUGGGAGCAGUGGUGGUGCAGCGGCGGCGGCGGCGCCACGCAGUCAGCCGUGGAGGUUUGGAGUCAGGGAUGUGAGAGCGAC